Molecule: ribosomal RNA, 279 nt
Filed under: uncultured bacterium
Lineage: Bacteria
Description: partial 16S ribosomal RNA
Rfam family: Bacterial small subunit ribosomal RNA
Source: RNAcentral
UGCCAGCCGCCGCGGUAAUACGAGGGGGGCAAGCGUUAUUCGGAAUUACUGGGCGUAAAGCGCGCGCAGGCGGCCUGUUAAGUGAGAAGUGAAAGCCCCGGGCUCAACCUGGGAACGGCUUCUCAUACUGGCAGGCUGGAGUAUGGGAGAGGAAAGUGGAAUUCCCGGUGUAGCGGUGAAAUGCGUAGGGAUCGGGAGGAACACCAGUGGCGAAGGCGGCUUUCUGGACCAUAACUGACGCUGAGGCGCGAAAGCGUGGGGAGCAAACAGGAUUAGAUA